AAUGAUUGCAAAGUAAAAAAAUAGUGUUACCAUUAUGAUGUCGCAAGACUAUGAUAAUAAACGCUGUACAUGAUAGGCGCUAUGGACUCGGGGGCGGUACCCGACACCUCCACCAGUGGUAUAGGGGGGUGAACUAGCUUUGACAUUCUCCGAAGGGUAUAAGUUUUAUUCAGCGAGAUUCGGCUGCCGCGCAGGCGGAAACAGUUCAGAAAUUUAAAUGCAAAAGACAAUUUUGCUAAUGUUGCAAUGGCUGCGUAGUCUUCGGACUAAUAUUUCAAUAGAAAUAUUUUCACCUGACGGUGACUGUUUGUUGUAGCGGGGCCCAGGGGAGCCUGUCAACAGAAUCCCCUACG
Molecule: transfer-messenger RNA, 353 nt
Filed under: Rickettsiales bacterium
Lineage: Bacteria; Pseudomonadati; Pseudomonadota; Alphaproteobacteria; Rickettsiales
Rfam family: Alphaproteobacteria transfer-messenger RNA
About the family: Bacterial tmRNA, also known as 10Sa RNA or SsrA, is named for its dual tRNA and mRNA-like properties. Its role is to liberate the mRNA from a stalled ribosome. To accomplish this part of the tmRNA is used as a reading frame that ends in a translation stop signal.
Source: RNAcentral